CGGCUCGUAAACCCCUGUCAUUUGCGAACAAAACCUUAUGGUUUAACAGGUCAUAAGCUGAUUGUAGCGAAAGAAGGAAGGGACGGCUAACUCUGUGC
RNAcentral lists this ribosomal RNA (98 nucleotides) under uncultured bacterium. RNAcentral's name for it is "partial 16S ribosomal RNA". The record is from RNAcentral.